CACUGUUAUGCCCAGUACGGCGAGUGAGCGGCAACAGCUCAAAUUUGAAAUCUGGCCCCUCCGGGUCCGAGUUGUAAUUUGUAGAGGAUGCUUUUGGUGAGGUGCCGCCCGAGUUCCCUGGAACGGGACGCCACAGAGGGUGAGAGCCCCGUCUGGCUGGCCACCGAGCCUCUGUAAAGCUCCUUCGACGAGUCGAGUAGUUUGGGAAUGCUGCUCAAAAUGGGAGGUAUAUGUCUUCUAAAGCUAAAUAUUGGCCAGAGACCGAUAGCGCACAAGUAGAGUGAUCGAAAGAUGAAAAGCACCUUGAAAAGAGGGUUAAACAGUACGUGAAAUUGUUGAAAGGGAAGCGCUUGUGACCAGACUUGGGCGCGGCGGAUCAUCCGGGGUUCUCUCCGGUGCACUUCGCCGCGUUCAGGCCAGCAUCAGUUCGUCGCGGGGGAAAAAGGCUUCGGGAACGUGGCUCCUCCGGGAGUGUUAUAGCCCGUUGCAUAAUACCCUGCGGUGGACUGAGGACCGCGCAUCUGCAAGGAUGCUGGCGUAAUGGUCACCAGCGACCCGUCUUGAACCACGGACCCA
RNAcentral lists this ribosomal RNA (576 nucleotides) under Trichoderma asperellum. RNAcentral describes it as "partial large subunit ribosomal RNA". It matches the Rfam family "Eukaryotic large subunit ribosomal RNA", at positions 69 to 669 of the family's 3401-position model. Lineage: Eukaryota; Fungi; Ascomycota; Sordariomycetes; Hypocreales; Hypocreaceae. The record is from RNAcentral.